Molecule: non-coding RNA, 1280 nt
Organism: Camellia sinensis
Lineage: Eukaryota; Viridiplantae; Streptophyta; Magnoliopsida; Ericales; Theaceae
Source: RefSeq, a predicted model, not a curated record
GACAUGCCAAACUUGGAGAACACUCUAGACUCUCCAAAACCCUCACUUCAUCUCUCUCUCUCUCUCUCUGCAAUUUCCUUGAUAGAUGGGUAGCAAUCAAGCGGCAGUGUCUUUCCUAACCAACAUAGCCCGGGCGGCGAUCGGCCUCGGACUCAGCGGCGCCGUGCUCAACUCAUCCCUCUACACCGUUGACGGCGGCCAACGCGCCGUCCUCUUCGAUCGAUUCCGCGGCGUCAUCGACGAGACCGUUGGCGAAGGUACCCAUUUCCUCAUCCCAUGGCUCCAAAAGCCCUUCAUCUUCGACAUCCGAACUCGCCCCCACACCUUCUCCUCCAUCUCCGGCACCAAGGACCUCCAAAUGGUUAACCUAACCCUCCGUGUCCUCUCUCGCCCCGAGGUCUCUCAACUCCCCCGAAUCUUCCAAACCCUAGGCCUCGAAUACGACGAGAAAGUCCUUCCUUCGAUCGGCAACGAAGUCCUCAAGGCCGUCGUCGCUCAAUUCAACGCCGAUCAGCUCCUCACCGAGCGUCCCAGCGUCUCCGCAUUGGUCCGCGAGAGCUUGGUUCGUCGUGCUAAGGAUUUCAACAUCCUUCUCGAUGAUGUUGCGAUCACGCACUUGUCGUAUGGGGCUGAGUUCUCCAAGGCCGUGGAGCAGAAGCAGGUGGCGCAGCAGGAGGCGGAGAGGUCUAAAUUCGUGGUGGCCAAAGCGGAGCAAGAGAGGCGAGCGGCGAUUAUUAGGGCGGAAGGUGAGAGUGAGGCUGCGAAAUUGAUUUCGGAUGCGACUGCCGCUGCUGGAAUGGGUUUGAUCGAGCUCAGGAAGAUUGAGGCUUCGAGGGAGAUAGCGGCGACUUUGGCGAAGACUCCGAAUGUGGCCUACCUGCCUAAUGCAAACAACAUGUUGUUGGGGCUCAAUCCUUCCAUGGCUGGCCGCUGAUUUGGGCUUUUUGUUGUUGAUUCAGCUUUGGAUUAGAGCUGAUGGCUCACAUAUUACUGUUGUCUGGCAUUCAAUUGCCUUUUACUAGUAGUUGUUUGCUCUUUCACAUUAGAUCUUUGCACAUUUGCCGGAAUUACAAGUUCUUGGGGCUUUUUGUUGUUGAUUCAGCUUUGGAUUAGAGCUGAUGGCUCACAUAUUACUGUUGUCUGGCAUUCAAUUGCCUUUUACUAGUAGUUGUUUGCUCCUUCACAUUAGAUCUUUGCACAUUUGCCGGAAUUACAAGUUCUUGGGUGAGGCUUCCCUUUUGGCCAUAUUGAAAUGAAUUACUUCUCUUAGAAUGUUGGCA